Molecule: transfer RNA, 72 nt
Filed under: Cephus pygmeus
Lineage: Eukaryota; Metazoa; Arthropoda; Insecta; Hymenoptera; Cephidae
Description: tRNA-Asp
Source: RNAcentral
UAAAAGUUAGUUAAUUAACUUAUAACAUUAAAUUGUCAAUUUAAAAUAAUUUUAUUUAUAAAAUACUUUUAU